GCUCUAGUUUUGGCAGCACAUAUACUAAAAUUGGAAUGAUACAGAGAAGAUUAGCAUGGACCCUGCGUAAAGAUGACAUCCAAAUCCUUGAAGGGUUCCAUAUUUUU
Molecule: small nuclear RNA, 107 nt
Organism: Myotis lucifugus (little brown bat)
Lineage: Eukaryota; Metazoa; Chordata; Mammalia; Chiroptera; Vespertilionidae
Source: Ensembl